AUGACUUAUGAGGCUACCAGGGGCUACUACACCUCCAAAUUAAUGACAGCCUGCAACUUACUUGCUUCCAACACACUAGUAACACAUUCUAAGGUUCGUAAUCGGCUACUUCAGAGCGUUGUUGCUAUUCUGUGGGUAAAGGUCCUCAUUUUGUUGACGGUGGCAUCUUACAAAGAAAAGGAAGUUCGAGAUGGGAACACUUGUUUCAAAUGCUCUCCUCCCAUUCGCGAUGCUUCCAACAAGGAAAACCUCUGGGAAGCUCUGCCGGUAAUGCAAUCUCCUAUCCAUCCCAGCUCCAACUUACUACUGCUAAUCAAUUGUCUGCAUGUAAUAGAAAAGUAG
RNAcentral lists this ribosomal RNA (342 nucleotides) under Triticum aestivum (bread wheat). Its description in RNAcentral is "partial small subunit ribosomal RNA". Lineage: Eukaryota; Viridiplantae; Streptophyta; Magnoliopsida; Poales; Poaceae. The record is from RNAcentral.